GACGGAAGGUGCAAGCGUUGCUCGGAAUCACUGGGCGUAAAGGGUGCGUAGGCGGCCGUGCAAGUCUGGCGUGAAAGCCCCGGGCUCAGCCCGGGAAGUGCGCUCGAAACUGCGCGGCUCGAGUGCCGGAGGGGAGAGUGGAAUUCCUGGUGUAGCGGUGAAAUGCGUAGAUAUCAAGAGGAACACCUGAGGUGAAGACGGGUUGCUGGGCCGACACUGACGCUGAGUGCGCGAAAGCCAGGGGAGCAAACGGG
RNAcentral lists this ribosomal RNA (254 nucleotides) under uncultured bacterium. RNAcentral's name for it is "partial 16S ribosomal RNA". It matches the Rfam family "Bacterial small subunit ribosomal RNA", at positions 524 to 776 of the family's 1533-position model. The record is from RNAcentral.